This 256-nucleotide ribosomal RNA is filed under the name uncultured bacterium. RNAcentral's name for it is "partial 16S ribosomal RNA". It matches the Rfam family "Bacterial small subunit ribosomal RNA", at positions 521 to 776 of the family's 1533-position model. RNAcentral also lists the same sequence under 1 other name. The record is from RNAcentral.
UAAUACGUAGGUGGCAAGCGUUGUCCGGAUUUACUGGGCGUAAAGGGAGCGUAGGUGGAUAUUUAAGUGGGAUGUGAAAUACCCGGGCUUAACCUGGGUGCUGCAUUCCAAACUGGAUAUCUAGAGUGCAGGAGAGGAAAGGAGAAUUCCUAGUGUAGCGGUGAAAUGCGUAGAGAUUAGGAAGAAUACCAGUGGCGAAGGCGCCUUUCUGGACUGUAACUGACACUGAGGCUCGAAAGCGUGGGGAGCAAACAGG